AUACUUACCUGGACGGGUUCAAUGGAUGAUCAAGAAGGUCCUUGGCCUAGGAAAGUGACCUCCAUUGCACUAUGGAGAAAGUGUUUUCCUAAGGUCUGCCCAAGCAGCAGAGCCUACAUCAUAAUUUGUGGUAGUGGGGGCUUGCUUUUGCACACCCCGA
Glycine soja is the source of this 160-nucleotide non-coding RNA. The record is from Rfam. NCBI's taxonomy places the organism in Eukaryota, Viridiplantae, Streptophyta, Magnoliopsida, Fabales, Fabaceae.